GUCAAUGGAGGAGACGUAUUCCGGCCCUGCUCCGACAGCGGGAGAGGAGGAAGUCGGGGGUGGACACCAUGAAUCGUCUAAUCCUACUGUUGCCUCAAGAGGUCGUCAGCAACCACCCACAAGGCGCCGGGGAGCACGCGGCGGUCGGGGACGUGGUUCAAGGGCCUCUGCCAGAACGGAUGAGGAGGAAUUAUCCGGUUUCUAUAUAGACAAUGAACUCCUCAUCCAUCUGGUGGAGGAACGCGUCCCACUCUGGGACCAUACCGACCGCCG
Long non-coding RNA from Bufo bufo (common toad), 273 nucleotides. RefSeq lists it as uncharacterized. The record is from RefSeq and is a predicted model, not a curated record. The transcript has 3 exons. NCBI's taxonomy places the organism in Eukaryota, Metazoa, Chordata, Amphibia, Anura, Bufonidae.